This is a long non-coding RNA of Coturnix japonica (Japanese quail), 2015 nucleotides long. RefSeq lists it as uncharacterized. The record is from RefSeq and is a predicted model, not a curated record. NCBI's taxonomy places the organism in Eukaryota, Metazoa, Chordata, Aves, Galliformes, Phasianidae.
AAACCUGCCGAAGGAGUAUAACUGAUAUAAUUUCUCUCUUUUCCAAGUUUCUUAGGAAAAUGUAGUUUUUGCAGUGACAAAAUCACAGCUGCCUUAUAGAGCUCAGUGCAAAGGUCUGUAUAUGAAUUAGAUGCCUCUUAAAUGGGUUAUUAAUGAGGUCAAUGUUUUGUGCCAUGUAGAUGGACAGAUGCAAUUUCAGCUUCAUAAACCAUCUUUGGAAUUAUCUCAUAUGCUUAUUUUUCCUAAAAGCUCACAGUUGAGUCGAGGUGAGGUCUUUCAAAUUUCCGUUGUAGUAUAUAAUUACACCACGCAAUACUAUAUAUAUAUAGGACUGUAAAAUAUGUGUUAAAUAUUACACCAUGUAGGAGUAUAUUUGUAACACUUCUAUAUUAAACAUAACAUUGUUUUACAGUGUAAAAUUCACCCUUAUGCAGAGAACUCAAACCACUUUGCCUUCGUUAUGACACAUACCCUGUGUUUGCCACAUGACAGUCAUAGUAGAUUUUUCAUGUGACACAUAGCAUCCUGUUUGUGGUGACAGACCUAGAAUAAGGACUCGGAUGUGAUACUGCUGUUUUGCCGAACUGAAGAAAAAUUAUUAGUCAUAAAAUGGUCUUGCCUGAGGGACCUAGUCCUGGGGACUCCUCCUGGCUGAGUCUGGUGGCUCCUCCUGUGCAGUUCUCCAUGUGGAAGAGCUUAAUUCUGCCUCAUUUCUGGCAGAACUUUAUAUAAUGAACUUGAACAUGGAUCUGAAGCAUCACAAUGAUUGCAGUGUAGAGGACAUCUUGUUAAAUAGGCUGCUCCCACUGUUCUUGUGAGUCGGGUUCCACAAGCCUUCACAUACCAGUUUAAUGAGAUUACUUAGAGAGGUACAAAUGGAAAAACACUGUUGGUUAGAGUUUGUCUUUAUUUUAAUUGAAUUAAAGAAUAACCCACUGAACAAGAACAGAAGCUCAUAAAUGGUUUGGUUUGCUCUAGCUAGGAAUUAUCCUUAGCAGGAAUUCUAAAAUAAGGAAAAUUUAACUCAUGGUAUCUGUUUUAUAUUCUCACUCCAAAUCCUUCUGCAGGCAAUGAAGCCCAAAUUCAAUUUCCAACUCCCAGCUCUGGCUGAAUAUAUAUGGUGUUAACAUUCAUUUAAUUUUGUUUUUUUGUGUGUACCUGUGCGUUUGGUUUGGUAUUAGGAACUGGGAGCUGGUGAAGCAUUUUGAACUACCAAGCUAGCAAGUCUUUACAGCACAGGAAGAAGGUGAAGGUUUGCUUAAGAAUGUAUUUCCUUGCAACUUUGUACACUAGAAAAGCCUCAUAGCUCUAUGCAAACUGAUUCUUCAAGCUCAAGAGAUCAGCUUCAACCCUGGGGUUGGUUUGGGUCUCUUGGGUCUUGCAGGACUAAUUUGGAGCAUAAGAUAUUUGGCUAAACUUAGUGUAAAUACUUUGCUAUAAAUGAUGUAAGUGGCCAACUUCUCCACAGUUGCUAAUAGAGUAAAUACAGAUUGGCUUUGUUAUAAUUCUUUUAAUCAAAUGAUGCAGUUAAAUAAUCGUUGAUGUAAUGUUACAGGUUUCAGCGGAAUUAUUCCAUGCUAGAUCUAAUCUUGUAAUUUUUGAAAGAAAAUAAAUCUCUCAUUAUCUUCUCACAGAAAAGCAGUCUCCGUGCACUUAAUACUCCUUUUAGGUGAACUGUAGAAAACAGACUAAAAUCCAUGAAACGAAUUUGGCAAAAGUGCCAUCUGGUCCACAGCAAUUUGCAUUUGCAUGAGAAAAAAGCACAAAAUGUACCCAAACUGAACAGCAUUGGAUACCUGCUCUGAUCAAAGGUGAAGGCUUGGAGAAGGGUUAGGUUUCUCUCAGUAAUUGAAUCACAGAGAAAGGAAAGCCAUUAAAUUUGCAAAGGAGGCCAUUGAGGUUUGUUGCAUUUCCCUGACUCUUUCCAAGCCCAUUGAAUAAUCUCAGCAAUCUAAGUAUCUGUAAAGAUUUUGUCAAAGAGCAAAUGAAGGCCUUAUUGUGAAUUUUGCCUACAA